RNAcentral lists this ribosomal RNA (465 nucleotides) under Vreelandella stevensii. Its description in RNAcentral is "partial 16S ribosomal RNA". It matches the Rfam family "Bacterial small subunit ribosomal RNA", at positions 338 to 795 of the family's 1533-position model. Lineage: Bacteria; Pseudomonadati; Pseudomonadota; Gammaproteobacteria; Oceanospirillales; Halomonadaceae. The record is from RNAcentral.
CCUACGGGUGGCAGCAGUGGGGAAUAUUGGACAAUGGGCGAAAGCCUGAUCCAGCCAUGCCGCGUGUGUGAAGAAGGCCUUCGGGUUGUAAAGCACUUUCAGUGGGGAAGAAAGCCUUGGGGCUAAUACCCUCGAGGAAGGACAUCACCCACAGAAGAAGCACCGGCUAACUCCGUGCCAGCAGCCGCGGUAAUACGGAGGGUGCGAGCGUUAAUCCGAAUUACUGGGCGUAAAGCGCGCGUAGGCGGUCUGAUAAGCCGGUUGUGAAAGCCCCGGGCUCAACCUGGGAACGGCAUCCGGAACUGUCAGGCUAGAGUGCAGGAGAGGAAGGUAGAAUUCCCGGUGUAGCGGUGAAAUGCGUAGAGAUCGGGAGGAAUACCAGUGGCGAAGGCGGCCUUCUGGACUGACACUGACGCUGAGGUGCGAAAGCGUGGGUAGCAAACAGGAUUAGAUACCCGAGUAGUC